CCAUGCCCUUAUCAAAUCCACAGCACUCCUAUAGCUGACGUAGUUGAAAAGAAGCCAAGAAUGACUCAUUUUUCUUUACUGUCCCUGUCCAGUUUGUUCCAUUGGCCAGCUGCACAGUUACCUGAGAUGUCUAGU
Molecule: non-coding RNA, 135 nt
Organism: Chelonia mydas (Green sea turtle)
Lineage: Eukaryota; Metazoa; Chordata; Testudines; Cheloniidae
Source: Rfam